UUUCUUUCUCUGUCUCUCUGUAUCUUCUGCCCUAGAGGACUGGACCAUAAUUCUGGAUGGAUGAGAAAUGAACUCUGACAACUAAGCUCAAGCUAAAAACAAAUUCAACAAAUAAAGAUUUUCCAGAGCAGAUACCAGCACUCUCACGCAUAUGCAGUGUGAUUGCUUUGUGAAUUCAUCAGCCACGGAGAAAUAAGGAGAAAUCCAGAUCAAGUAGCGGGACAGUGGAGGUGCUGCAAGCCCAGCGGAGCUUCUCGGGCAGACAAUAAAUCAGCACUGAGGCAUUGCGCUGCUGCAUCCGGACUUCUGCAGAAGUUACUUCCUGGGAACCUCUUCUCCCUUCGAGCUUCGCCCCACGCUCCCCAGCUUGUUCCCACAUAUAUCAGAUUAAUGACAUCAAUGCCACCAGUCUGUAUUUGCGGCUGCAAAAAUAGCAAGGUGGUG
Molecule: long non-coding RNA, 444 nt
Filed under: Dromaius novaehollandiae (emu)
Lineage: Eukaryota; Metazoa; Chordata; Aves; Casuariiformes; Dromaiidae
Description: lncRNA (ENSDNVG00000010204.1)
Source: RNAcentral